RNAcentral lists this ribosomal RNA (618 nucleotides) under uncultured bacterium. RNAcentral's name for it is "bacterial SSU rRNA". It matches the Rfam family "Bacterial small subunit ribosomal RNA", at positions 169 to 803 of the family's 1533-position model. The record is from RNAcentral.
CCGCAUAAGCGCACAGUACCGCAUGGUACAGUGUGAAAAACUCCGGUGGUGUGAGAUGGACCCGCGUCUGAUUAGCUAGUUGGCAGGGCAACGGCCUACCAAGGCGACGAUCAGUAGCCGACCUGAGAGGGUGACCGGCCACAUUGGGACUGAGACACGGCCCAAACUCCUACGGGAGGCAGCAGUGGGGAAUAUUGCACAAUGGGGGAAACCCUGAUGCAGCGACGCCGCGUGAGCGAAGAAGUAUUUCGGUAUGUAAAGCUCUAUCAGCAGGGAAGAAGAAAUGACGGUACCUGACUAAGAAGCACCGGCUAAAUACGUGCCAGCAGCCGCGGUAAUACGUAUGGUGCAAGCGUUAUCCGGAUUUACUGGGUGUAAAGGGAGCGCAGGCGGAAGGCUAAGUCUGAUGUGAAAGCCCGGGGCUCAACCCCGGUACUGCAUUGGAAACUGGUCAUCUAGAGUGUCGGAGGGGUAAGUGGAAUUCCUAGUGUAGCGGUGAAAUGCGUAGAUAUUAGGAGGAACACCAGUGGCGAAGGCGGCUUACUGGACGAUAACUGACGCUGAGGCUCGAAAGCGUGGGGAGCAAACAGGAUUAGAUACCCUGGUAGUCCACGCCGU